RNAcentral lists this ribosomal RNA (561 nucleotides) under Polypedates aff. leucomystax TZ-9888. Its description in RNAcentral is "partial 16S ribosomal RNA". It matches the Rfam family "Bacterial large subunit ribosomal RNA", at positions 1832 to 2612 of the family's 2925-position model. Lineage: Eukaryota; Metazoa; Chordata; Amphibia; Anura; Rhacophoridae. The record is from RNAcentral.
CUCUUGAUUUAUGAUAAGAGGUCCAGCCUGCCCAGUGAAUUUUUAACGGCCGCGGUAUCCUAACCGCGCGAAGGUAGCAUAAUCACUUGUUCUUUAAAUGGGGACUCGUAUCAACGGCAUCACGAGGGUUUUACUGUCUCCUCUUUUUGAUCAGUGAAAUUGAUCUUCCCGUGAAGAAGCGGGAAUACUCAUAUAAGACGAGAAGACCCCAUGGAGCUUAAAACCAAAUAGUAACUUAACCACAUAUUUCCUUAUAACUUUAAGCCUAUACCAUGAGGUUUUUGGUUGGGGUGACCGCGGAGUAAAACAUAUCCUCCACGACGGAAAGACUACAAUCUUUAUUUAAGAAUCACAGUUCUAAAAAUUAGCAUACUAACGUUUACUGACCCGAUAAUCGAUCAACGGAACAAGUUACCCUGGGGAUAACAGCGCAAUCUACUUCAAGAGCCCAUAUCGACGAGUAGGCUUACGACCUCGAUGUUGGAUCAGGGUAUCCCAGUGGUGCAGCCAUUACUGAAGGUUCGUUUGUUCAACGAUUAAAACCCUACGUGAUCUGAGUCA